UACGGAGGGGGCUAGCGUUGUUCGGAAUUACUGGGCGUAAAGCGUACGUAGGCGGCUUUGUAAGUUAGAGGUGAAAGCCCGGAGCUCAACUCCGGAAUUGCCUUUAAGACUGCAUCGCUCGAAUCAUGGAGAGGUUAGUGGAAUUCCGAGUGUAGAGGUGAAAUUCGUAGAUAUUCGGAAGAACACCAGUGGCGAAGGCGACUAACUGGACAUGUAUUGACGCUGAGGUACGAAAGCGUGGGGAGCAAACAGG
RNAcentral lists this ribosomal RNA (253 nucleotides) under uncultured bacterium. RNAcentral describes it as "partial 16S ribosomal RNA". It matches the Rfam family "Bacterial small subunit ribosomal RNA", at positions 524 to 776 of the family's 1533-position model. The record is from RNAcentral.